RNAcentral lists this ribosomal RNA (493 nucleotides) under uncultured bacterium. RNAcentral's name for it is "partial 16S ribosomal RNA". It matches the Rfam family "Bacterial small subunit ribosomal RNA", at positions 28 to 507 of the family's 1533-position model. The record is from RNAcentral.
GACGAACGCUGGCGGCGUGCUUAACACAUGCAAGUCGAACGGUGAAGGGACCGGUUUUUGCUGGUUCUGGAUGAGUGGCGAACGGGUGAGUAACACGUGAGUAACCUGCCCCCUUCUUCUGGAUAACCGCAUGAAAGUGUGGCUAAUGCGGGAUAUUCUGCGCCUGCUGCAUGGUGGGUGUGGGAAAGAUAUUGUUUCGGUGGGGGAUGGGCUCGCGGCCUAUCAGCUUGUUGGUGGGGUGAUGGCCUACCAAGGCGGUGACGGGUAGCCGGCCUGAGAGGGUGGACGGUCACACUGGGACUGAGACACGGCCCAGACUCCUACGGGAGGCAGCAGUGGGGAAUAUUGCACAAUGGGCGCAAGCCUGAUGCAGCGACGCCGCGUGAGGGAUGGAGGCCUUCGGGUUGUAAACCUCUUUCGCCAGUGAAGCAGGCCUGUCCCUUUUGUGGGUGGGUUGACGGUAGCUGGAUAAGAAGCGCCGGCUAACUACGUG